GUGCUCACUUCAGCAGAACAUACACUAAAAUGAUACAGAGAAGAUGAGCAUGGCCCCUGAGCAAGGAUGACAUGCAAAUUCAUGAGGCAUUCCAUAUAUUU
Molecule: small nuclear RNA, 101 nt
Filed under: Carlito syrichta (Philippine tarsier)
Lineage: Eukaryota; Metazoa; Chordata; Mammalia; Primates; Tarsiidae
Source: RNAcentral